AUUGAACGCUGGCGGCAGGCCUAACACAUGCAAGUCGAGCGGAUGAAGGGAGCUUGCUCCUGGAUUCAGCGGCGGACGGGUGAGUAAUGCCUAGGAAUCUGCCUGGUAGUGGGGGAUAACGUCCGGAAACGGGCGCUAAUACCGCAUACGUCCUGAGGGAGAAAGUGGGGGAUCUUCGGACCUCACGCUAUCAUAUGAGCCUAGUUCGGAUUAGCUAGUUGGUGGGGUAAAGGCCUACCAAGGCGACGAUCCGUAACUGGUCUGAUAGGAUGAUCAGUCACACGGGAACUGAGACACGGACCAGACCCCUACGGGAGGCAGCAGUGGGGAAUAUUGGACAAUGGGCGAAAGCAUGAUCCAGCAAUGCCGCGUGUGUGAAGAAGGUCUUCGGAUUGUAAAGCACUUUAAGUUGGGAGGAAGGGCAGUAAGUUAAUACCUUGCUGUUUUGACGUUACCAACAGAAUAAGCACCGGCUAACUUCGUG
RNAcentral lists this ribosomal RNA (484 nucleotides) under uncultured bacterium. RNAcentral describes it as "partial 16S ribosomal RNA". It matches the Rfam family "Bacterial small subunit ribosomal RNA", at positions 30 to 507 of the family's 1533-position model. The record is from RNAcentral.